UUUUUGGUAUGUUCUUUGGCCUCCCAAAAUCACAACAAAUCUUCAAAAGCCCUAAUGGACAAUAGUUCAAUCCUAAAUGAUUUCCCCCAAGCUUGAUCCGGCUUCCAAUUUCAACUCCCCAUGAUUGAUUUUUCUUCUGUGAAUUUUGUUUCAUUUUCACCAAAUAUUUCCCUCCCUACCAAUCCCGCUUCCGAUUUCAAUCCUAAAUGAUUUCCUCUUAAAAGCCCUAAUCAGGAACUUUUUUAGGUAUCUUCUUUGGCCUCCCAAAAUCACAAAAAAUCUUCAAAAGCCCUAAUUAGAUCUCUUCAACAGAGCAUUUGAUUCCGAACUGCUCUCCUAAUCAAAUCUAUGCUCGCCCAAGAACAACAGCCAACCGAAUAGUACUAGCAGUGUUUUCAGCCAAAACCGGGACCUUGGCCAGUUUGAUUCUUGCUAUCGGAGCAGAUAGAUGAGAACCGGAGGUCGGACUAGAAACCGGUCGGUUGGACCAAAAAACCAGGAGGUUGGAUCGAAUUUUUAAUCAGUCGGUCUCCCUACCUCGAUUCCCUCACACGGUUCUAGCAUCCUCUCAGGAUUUGGUUAUGGCGGAAGGUUAUCGCUACACCCUUGUUGCUCAGUUAGAGUAUUCUCAUGAACCAUAUGUGGAUUCAUAACAUGGAUUUCUUUAGCAAGACGACGUCGUUGCCUCAUCACCCAACAACCCUCCUUCGCCGCCUCGUUUCCUUGAAAUUAUUUUUUCUCGUCUCAAGUGGAUCUAGUUAUUGCUAUAGCUAUAACUUGCUUUUCUUUGUUGCAGAGUAUUCUUGUGGACCCUCUAAAAUUCUAAGCUUGUCAAUCAUCUUAAGAGUAUAAUCAAGUUUAGAGGUGGUCCGAUAUUAGUUGCUGAGUACAUAGAGGAAGUGCUGAUAAAUCCCAAGGCUGGUUUAUAACCUCUCUAAAGUAAGCCAAAUGUUUGGAGAGACAAGCCAAACUGGGUCAAUCUGACGAUCUAGCGAAGGGCCGAAAUGAAAGCUGGGAGAGUUUUUCAUAGAACGAAAAAGGUUAUCUUGUUACAAGUGAGACAAAAGUGUUGUUUCUAGGAGUGAUGUAGGUUAUGUUACACUUGCUGCAUCAUUUGUAAAAAGCUUUUGAUUAAAAGUUUAUGUAUUUAAUAUGUAUAUCGAAAAGUUAUGUAUGGAUUUUAG
RNAcentral lists this long non-coding RNA (1184 nucleotides) under Helianthus annuus (common sunflower). Lineage: Eukaryota; Viridiplantae; Streptophyta; Magnoliopsida; Asterales; Asteraceae. The record is from RNAcentral.